UACACUUCUUCCAAGAGGUCCUUGUUGAUUCAGCCCAGGUUGCUGGCAAGGAUGACCGGAUGCAUUCCUGUUACCUGCAGUGGCUGUCUUGGUGGUGGGCUAUGCAGACUGUGUCAGCAAGAGAGCAGCAAGGGAUGGCAACAGAAAAAAGUGGUCUUAGUCUGCCACGGAAUGGGAUCCAUUUGCUGCCAGGAGGAUACCUGAUACAUAGUCUGAUUACCAGGAGAUACAAGCGCCUGAUUCUUCACAGCUUGGAAGUGGAUACAGCUAUUUGCAUAGAUUAUUCCUGGUCCAGCACAGGUCCCUGCCUGAAUGCAGAAUGAGAGUCUUUCCURCCAUGGAAAGUUCCUCUGUGUUUGCCCAGGAAAGAUGUCUGGGGCUUUGAAGCUGCUUUGAUGGAGGUGUUUUCAAAGAGAAUGAUAGCAGAAGGCAUUUUCCCCAUGGCGAAGGCACCUGUUUGUAACCUCUAACCUAGGCAUCUGGGAAGGUUUAAACUGAAAGGAAAGAGACAGCAGGUAUUAUUUACUUCUGUUCAUUUUUUGCUCCUUUGUGUAUUCAGUUCAAAUUGAAAUUUGUAUAUAUAAUGCCAGAAUGAGAGAUUAGAUCCUUCUCUGCACUCAAGAGAAGAGCUUUUUAUUUGGGUAGAAUCUUUACCAAAAGAUUUUCUUAUUGCUCAACAUGAAACUUUGGGAUGAUUCACUGAUGGAAAGCCUUUAACAUCCAGAGAAUCACAGAAUAAUUCAGAUUGGACCUCAGAAGGUCUCUAGUCUAUCUCCCUGCCCAAAGAGGGGCCAGCUCUGGGGUCAGACCAAGCUGCUCAGGGCUGGGUCUAGGUGGGUCUUGAAAGCCUCUGAGGAUAGAGACAGCACAGCCUCGUGGGGCAUCUGCUCCACUGCCUGACAGUUCUCAUGGGGAAAAAGUUUCUCUUGUUGCAACUUGUGCCCAUUGUUUCUCGCCCUCCUGCCAUGCCCUGCUGUGAGGAG
RNAcentral lists this long non-coding RNA (983 nucleotides) under Apteryx rowi (Okarito brown kiwi). RNAcentral's name for it is "lncRNA (ENSARWG00000010357.1)". The record is from RNAcentral. Lineage: Eukaryota; Metazoa; Chordata; Aves; Apterygiformes; Apterygidae.